GCCCCUCGCAGCUGUGCCUGACGAUUGGAGCAGCGUACUGCGCGGAAUGAUGGGAGUUGUAGUUCGUUCGCCUCUGGCGAACAACCGACUGUCUGACUCGCAGUCCCAAUCGCGUGUCGUGUGGGACCCUUUUCACUCGGUUGGAGGAAACUUGUAACAUAACUCUUAAGGAACUACCCUGGUGGUGCAGUGGUUAGGAAUCUGCCUGCCAGUGCGGGGAACAGGGAUUCCAUCCCUGGUCCACGAGGACCCCCCCAUGAUGCUGAACAGCUCGGCCUGUGGGCCACAACUACAGAGCCUGCGCUCUGAAACCUGCGUGAGCCGCACUGUGGAACCCGUGUGCUGCAGCUACUGAAGCCUGAGCUGGAACCUGUGCUCUGCAACAAGAGAAGCCACCGCAACGAGAAACCUAUAAGUAAAUAAAUGGCUCUUAAAACUCAA
Long non-coding RNA from Cervus elaphus (red deer), 441 nucleotides. RefSeq lists it as uncharacterized. Lineage: Eukaryota; Metazoa; Chordata; Mammalia; Artiodactyla; Cervidae. The record is from RefSeq and is a predicted model, not a curated record. The transcript is spliced from 2 exons.